AUAAAGCUGAGAUCGGAGCCCACUCUCCUUGGGUCCUUCGAUUUUAACCUCCUCUCUUGUCAGUUCUCUCUUCUCGAUCGCGCUUUAGCUAGCUCUUCCACUACCUUGGAUUUAAAGAUGCGCCCACCAAUCAACAUUGGUGGUCGUUCGUAUGGACAAUCAUCGAGUUCUCAAGCUGCUGGUUUUCAAAGAACUUUGAAGAAGAUAAUGUGGUUAUUCAGAAACGACUCGAUUCUGUGGAGCAACUGAUUCAAUCUUUUGCAGGUCCCAGUGGAUCAAAUGCAGCAGCUCCAUCUACUCCACAAACUUCCAUGGGUGUUGGUUCGUUUGCUCAUGCUACGUAGUUUGGUUUUACUUUGUUUGCUAAUGCUAUUUGCUUCCGUUUAUGUUGUUAAGUUUAUUUGCUUUUGUUUGCUGAAGUUUAGACCAUCACGUUUGUUUCUUUUUUAUAACAAUUUCGUUUUGGA
Camelina sativa (false flax) is the source of this 467-nucleotide long non-coding RNA. RefSeq lists it as uncharacterized. The record is from RefSeq and is a predicted model, not a curated record. NCBI's taxonomy places the organism in Eukaryota, Viridiplantae, Streptophyta, Magnoliopsida, Brassicales, Brassicaceae.